CUCUGGAGGAGUCCACGCAGAAUCCUUUUUAUUAUAGCGGUGGUAGGAAGGAUUCUGUGGGAAUUCCCAACUCCUGUGGUGCACAGUUGAAGCCCGGACAAAUGAGCUUUGAUUAUAAUUUUCUAUGCACACAGAACUAGAAAUAUAACUGGUCACAAAAUCAGGCAAAAACCAGACAGAUAAAAAGUGCUACUAUAACUACAAAAAUGCACAAGUGAUCUACCAGAUAACCAGAAGUGGGUGGUCAAAAGAAAUCACUAUAAAAAAGAGCAUAUGGCACUGGAGAGACUCAAAUAGCAAAUGCAGACUAAUGGGUACAGCUGUGAUGCAGAGAAGUCGCUCAGGUACAUUCACCCAUCUGUCGACGCAGACCUAGCAUAACAUCGGGCAGCCCCCUCCAGCAAAAAAGAACAGUUCUGAAAAUUGGAAGGUUUCUUAAACUGUAGUUCGAAUUGUAUUCACCUUUCACAUUUUAAUUCAACAAAGGUUUUGUUUUCAGACUAAAAUGACAAUAAAAGACUCAUUGUUUCCAUUAAGUAUUAACAUGUGCAGCAAAAAGAGACAUUUGGAUACCUUAUUAUGGGCAUGAUUCCCACCUCAUCUGCACCGGUACACAGUUGCUUUGAUUUAUGGAUUUAUUCCUGAUCUGCACUGGAAUAAGUGUGAUCCAAAUCUGGUGCUAUCUGUUCCAUAGUUGCGCAUAUUGGUGAUUACCCAUGUACGUGCGUGUCCUCUUGACUUCAACCAUCAUGACUGUGGUUUUGUGGGUGUUCCAUUGUUCAUUUAGCUGUGAUUAUUUUGGAAUCAGAUUGCUAGCAGAACCCUUUUUAUAUAGUGCAAAUAGACUGGGUUACAGAUUUACUGCAUCAAACAAUUUUCUUCGCUAUAUUUAUUCGCUUAAAUGUUGCUUUUCUCUAUUUCCCUAUUUAUUUUGUAUUGU
This is a long non-coding RNA of Mauremys reevesii (Reeves's turtle), 940 nucleotides long. RefSeq lists it as uncharacterized. The record is from RefSeq and is a predicted model, not a curated record. The transcript has 4 exons. Lineage: Eukaryota; Metazoa; Chordata; Testudines; Geoemydidae.